RNAcentral lists this ribosomal RNA (253 nucleotides) under uncultured bacterium. RNAcentral describes it as "partial 16S ribosomal RNA". It matches the Rfam family "Bacterial small subunit ribosomal RNA", at positions 524 to 776 of the family's 1533-position model. The record is from RNAcentral.
UACGUAGGGUGCAAGCGUUAAUCGGAAUUACUGGGCGUAAAGCGUGCGCAGGCGGUGAUGUAAGACAGAUGUGAAAUCCCCGGGCUCAACCCGGGAACUGCGUCCGAUACUGGAAGGCUUGAAUCCGGGAGAGGGAUGCGGAAUUCCAGGUGUAGCGGUGAAAUGCGUAGAUAUCUGGAGGAACACCGGUGGCGAAGGCGGCAUCCUGGACCGGCAUUGACGCUGAGGCGCGAAAGCGUGGGGAGCAAACAGG